This 672-nucleotide small RNA is filed under the name Pan troglodytes (chimpanzee). Its description in RNAcentral is "retained intron". The record is from RNAcentral. Lineage: Eukaryota; Metazoa; Chordata; Mammalia; Primates; Hominidae.
ACGGGGCCGCCUGGAGAGGUGCUGGGAGCUGGGUGGAGCUUAGAGGAAUUAAACUUUGGCCCUGCGCCUCGUCCAGCCUAGGUUCCACCCUUUUCUGGGAAAAAUGAAUCUCGCUGUGUUGUCCAGGCUGGAGUGCAGUGGCACCAUCUCGGCUCACUGCAACCUCUAGCUCCCAGGUUCAAGCGAUUCUCCUGACUCAGCCCCCUGAGUAGCUGGGAUUACAGGCACGCGCCACCACUCCCAGGCACCGGUAGAUGGCAAAUAACAUGCUUUCUUUCUGUUCCCGGGCUGCGUUCGGACCCCUGUCGGAGAGUAAAUCCCAACUAAGGUACCUGCCGUCGGCAGAUUUGAGCUUUCUUCUUGGACACGUAUUACCCACAGUCCUCCAGACUCUGGUAGAUUGCAUAUAACCUGCUUUCUUUCUGUUCCCGGGCGGCAUCAGACCCGUCGGAGAGUAAAUCCCAAGUAAGGUACCUGCCGUCGGCAGAUUGGAGCUUUCUUCUUGGACACCUAAUACCCACAGUCCUCCAGCAGCUGCCAUCUUUUCUCUAUCUGACGCAUUCAGUGGAAAAGGCUUUGUCAGAUCGGGUAGCCCCGGGGCUGGGGCUGCCAGAAGGUUUUCCUUUAACUCAUGAAAGACUUGCUGUUGUUGGGAUCCCCAUUCCAAAGGUU